RNAcentral lists this transfer RNA (77 nucleotides) under Candidatus Sumerlaeota bacterium. RNAcentral's name for it is "tRNA-Met". It matches the Rfam family "tRNA". Rfam says of the family: Transfer RNA (tRNA) molecules are approximately 80 nucleotides in length. Their secondary structure includes four short double-helical elements and three loops (D, anti-codon, and T loops). The record is from RNAcentral. Lineage: Bacteria; Candidatus Sumerlaeota.
GGCGGGGUAGCUCAGUUGGUGAGAGCGAUGGAUUCAUAACCCAUAGGUCGGCAGUUCAAAUCUGCUCCCCGCCACCA